RNAcentral lists this ribosomal RNA (440 nucleotides) under uncultured bacterium. Its description in RNAcentral is "partial 16S ribosomal RNA". It matches the Rfam family "Bacterial small subunit ribosomal RNA", at positions 338 to 795 of the family's 1533-position model. The record is from RNAcentral.
CCUACGGGAGGCAGCAGUGGGGAAUAUUGCACAAUGGGGGAAAGUCUGAUGCAGCGACGCCGCGUGAGUGAAGAAGGAAUUCGGUAUGUAAAGCUCUAUCAGCAGGGAAGAAAAUGACGGUACCUGAGUCAGAAGCCCCGGCUAACUACGUGCCAGCAGCCGCGGUAAUACGUAGGGGGCAAGCGUGAUCCGGAUUUAUUGGGUGUAAAGGGAGCGUAGACGGCAGUGCAAGUCUGGAGUGAAAGGCGGGGGCUCAACCCACGGACUGCUCUGGAAACUGUACGGCUGGAGUGCAGGAGAGGUAAGUGGAAUUCCGAGUGUAGCGGUGAAAUGCGUAGAUAUUAGGAGGAACACCAGUGGCGAAGGCGGCUUACUGGACUGUAACUGACGUUGAGGCUCGAAAGCGUGGGGAGCAAACAGGAUUAGAUACCCGGGUAGUC